GAAUCUUAGACAAUGGGGGAAACCCUGAUCUAGCCAUGCCGCGUGAUCGAUGAAGGCCUUAGGGUUGUAAAGAUCUUUCAGCUGGGAAGAUAAUGACGGUAACAGCAGAAGAAGCCCCGGCUAACUCCGUGCCAGCAGCCGCGGUCAUACGGCGGGGGCUAGCGUUAUUCGGAUUUACUGGGCGUAAAGCGCACGUAGUCGGAGCAGAAAGUUAGGGGUGAAAUCCCGGGGCGCAACCUCGGAACUGCCUCUAAAACUCCUGGUCUUGUGGUCUGUCACGUUGCAUUCUCUUCCAAUUAUUUCAGUGAAAUUCGUAGAUAUUCGGAGGAACACCAGUGGCGAAGGCGGCUCACUGGCUCGAUACUGACGCUGAGGUGCGAAAGCGUGGGGAGCAAACA
This 398-nucleotide ribosomal RNA is filed under the name uncultured bacterium. RNAcentral describes it as "partial 16S ribosomal RNA". It matches the Rfam family "Bacterial small subunit ribosomal RNA", at positions 359 to 774 of the family's 1533-position model. The record is from RNAcentral.